CAUAAUCGCGCUUUUCUACAGGCGAACUCCGCGCGAAUGCUGCAGUGAUUUGCUGGUUACACGUGAUCUAGGUCACUACAGCAUUUGCAAUGGCUGCCAAUGGAUUAAAUCACUACGGUCUAUGAUUAAAUCGUUAAGGGACGUGCGUAAACUCUCCGAUCUCUUUUCUCUUAUGCAUCUGGAUCUCAGUGUAACGCCAAGUCUCAAGUCUAGUGAAGUGUGUUAAUAACAUAACAUUGAAAAGUUAAUCAAACAGGCCACGCGUGCUAGCGCCAUGCAAGCGUCUCGUUCAGUUACAGACCUGCGGUCCUUUAAAACGUUAAACGAUAGUUUUACUGUUAGCAUCUGUUUUACCGUACGCUAUUAUGCAGCUACCAGUAGGUGGUUUGCAAACUCAAAUUCAAGUUGAUUUGUUGGUAGCUACCUACAGCCAAUUAUGACCAAUAUUUGUCAACUGUCAUUUUUUUAAACGUGAUUCAACUAUUGCAGAUACAGAAAUCCAUUGCAGGGGAUGGAUGUAGUGCAUUCGCUGGAGUUGGCUGAACAAUGUCCUGAAUCCAGGUGGCGGAGGAUAAGAGGCGGAAGGCAGAAGGUGAAGUGGCCGACAGAAGGAGCUGGAGCCUUCUUACGUGGUUCGAUAGCCGGACGACCGGGAACACAGGAUCUCUCAGCAGCGCGGAGAGCUUGGGCAGAGCCAGCCAGAGCCCCAGGAAGGACACAUCCAUCUCCUGCGUCUGCGGAGGGACCCGCACGCCGCACGCAGGCGGACACAGGAGCCCCUCGUCCAGGCUGCAUAUACACGGCAGAAUAAGGGAGAGAUUCUGUGAAGCACUGCUAUGCUCUCGCGUGCAUACUGAUGUCCGGAUGGCUGAAUUUAUGGUGCCAUUCAGGUAAGAGAUUCAAAACCCAUCACCCCUGCCUUACCCAUCAGCCCUUCAUUCCAGUGGGUCACUGCCAUGCAGGUGGAGAGAGCAAGAGUGUGGAGCCUCACUCUCCUAAGAUGGCUCCCCAGCAGAGUGCGGCAGCUCCAAGGUGGUGUAGUUAGAGAAGAGGUGUCCGAUCACCUGAUGGGGUCCUAUCCCCGAACACAUCAAUGUAUGGCACACCAGGGCUCAUGUCCAGCACCCAGCAGUGUAGAAGUGAGCUCAUACCACCCAAAUUCCAGAUGGAUAAGGUAGACCAGAACCUUAGAUUAUCCACUGGAAGAGAGGCAGCCAUGCAGGGGACAAUUUAAGUGACUGAUGUACACACACAUAGUCUCACACCCAUAUAGUACCGUUGUCGCACAAAAAUGAGUCCCGGUUGUCCAGAUCCUCUCUGCCUGGAACUUUUGAGGAUUUCCUCUGUGUACUUUGGUUUCCUCCCAUACCAAAAAUACAUGUACGUCAGGCACUGGCCACAGAGAUCUGGAGUUGGUCUGCGCUGUGGCUGCCCACUGCUCCUAAGUAACUAGGAUGGGUGAAAUUCAGAGGACAGAUCACCCCACAGUCGAUAAAGUAAGUAGCUAACUAACUGUGUUAUCAUCAAGAGCCAUUACAUAAUUUAGGAAGGUAGAGCAAUGUACAGAGCAAUACCACCUGAUUGGUCCCUAGUAUUAGGGAUGCACUGUUUCACUGGUUAAAAUCCUCGGAUCCACACGUGUACGCUUCUUUUGGCUUCUUUCUCUCUUCUGUCCUCUUCUGAGAAAGGGUGGUGACAAGAGUAACCCAAUGCAUAUUUCUUCCUGCCUGAAAAUGCAUCUAAAUUAAGUAGGUUUUGGUCUGUAAUGUAUUAGGCAAUAGGUUAGUUGGAGCAUUUUGGCGUGGGUACGUGUUAUUUUCCAGGUUAUUUUUCCCACUCACUCCAAGUUGCCUUCGGUGACUUUGCCCACUGUUGUCAGUGUGCUCUCUGCUUUAAUG
Anguilla rostrata (American eel) is the source of this 1898-nucleotide long non-coding RNA. RefSeq lists it as uncharacterized. NCBI's taxonomy places the organism in Eukaryota, Metazoa, Chordata, Actinopteri, Anguilliformes, Anguillidae. The transcript is spliced from 5 exons. The record is from RefSeq and is a predicted model, not a curated record.